UCCUAGGAAAGCUCAGUUGGCAGAGCGUGAGACAGUUAAUCUCAGGGUCGUGGGUGAGAGUCCCACGUUGGGGGAA
Molecule: non-coding RNA, 76 nt
Organism: Podarcis lilfordi (Lilford's wall lizard)
Lineage: Eukaryota; Metazoa; Chordata; Lepidosauria; Squamata; Lacertidae
Source: the annotation of a GenBank genome assembly